RNAcentral lists this ribosomal RNA (442 nucleotides) under uncultured bacterium. RNAcentral's name for it is "bacterial SSU rRNA". It matches the Rfam family "Bacterial small subunit ribosomal RNA", at positions 958 to 1398 of the family's 1533-position model. The record is from RNAcentral.
AACGCGAAGAACCUUACCAAGGCUUGACAUAUUCGAGAACGCUGCAGAAAUGUAGAACUCUUUGGACACUCGUUUACAGGUGGUGCAUGGUUGUCGUCAGCUCGUGUCGUGAGAUGUUGGGUUAAGUCCCGCAACGAGCGCAACCCUCGUUCUAUGUUGCCAGCACGUAAUGGUGGGAACUCAUGGGAUACUGCCGGGGUCGAACUCGGAGGAAGGUGGGGAUGACGUCAAAUCAUCAUGCCCCUUAUGUCUUGGGCUUCACGCAUGCUACAAUGGCCGGUACAAAGGGCUGCGAUACCGUAAGGUGGAGCGAAUCCCAAAAAGCCGGUCCCAGUUCGGAUUGAGGUCUGCAACUCGACCUCAUGAAGUCGGAGUCGCUAGUAAUCGCAGAUCAGCAACGCUGCGGUGAAUACGUUCCCGGGCCUUGUACACACCGCGCAUA